This 5571-nucleotide small RNA is filed under the name Pan troglodytes (chimpanzee). RNAcentral's name for it is "retained intron". The record is from RNAcentral. Lineage: Eukaryota; Metazoa; Chordata; Mammalia; Primates; Hominidae.
CUCAUCUGUUCUUUUUUUUGAGGCGGAGUCUCACUCUGUCACCCAGGCUGGAGUGCAGUGGCAUGGUCUCAGCUCACUGCAACCUCCGCCUCCCAUGCUCAAGCAAUUCUCCUGCCUCAGCAUCCCAAGUAGCUGGGAUUACAGGUGCAUGUCACCAUGCCUGGCUAAUUUUUUUGUAUUUUUAGGAGAGGCGGGGUUUCACCAUGUUGGCCAGGCUGGUCUCUUUUACACAAACUUCCAGAACACAGGGAAGGUGUUCCUCAGCUCACUGGCAAGGCUGCCACCCCCACCCCCACCCCCAACCACCUAACAGGACAAGGACAGCACAGGAAAAGAAGGUUGCAGCCAGUCUCAUGGGACCCUCAACAGAACAUCGGCAGCUUGAUUCCGCAGUGGGUGGACAGACUGAUGUGCUGGGGCAGGUGGAGCUUAGCCCAGAUACAAGAGGAUGCUUCAUCCUUAGGGGAUCCUCAACAGAACGUCAGCAGCUUGAUCCCACAGUGGGUGGACAGGCCUAUGCACUGGGGCAGGUGGAGCUUAGCCCAGAUACACGAGGAUGCUCCAUCCUUAGGAAGUCUCUCAGUUAGUACACAGACUUCAAAGCCGACCAGUCUCUCUCAGUUAAAGUACGCAGACUUCAAAGCUGGAUAUGAGUCCUGCCUCCACCUUUUCCAAGCUGGGUGACCUUGGAUGCAUGUCUGGGACUCUCAGAGCCUUGGCUCCCUCAGCUGCAAUUUUGGAAUCUCGAUUCCUGAGCCCUCCAGGGAUGGGUGUAAGGAGGGCUCCAUCAGGCAGUGUGUUCCUGGCUGUGCCAAAUUGGCUCAGUCAGUCACACACAGGGUCACAGCUUAUUACAAAGAAAGAACACAGAUGACAAUCAGCCAAGGGAAGAGAUGUGUGGAACGGGUGGAGGAAGGCUCUGUGCUCGGAGCUCCCAACUGUCCUCCUGCCGUGGAGUGUGGACGGCGCUAACUCCUCCCGGCAACAACGUGUGACAACCUGCAGGGGGUGCUGCUGGCCAGGAACGCUCCCCCGAGCUCGGCACUCGGUCUCUGUUGGGGUUGUGUGUAGAUAUGCUGACCUUCACCUCCAUCCCCGGCAGAGGCCGAGCUGAUGCACGUGGCCCAGACCCCCAACCCUGAGUCACACUGUGGGCUCAGCCCACCCGGGUGGCCCAGGGCUCCAGGUGAGCAGACCCUGCCAUCAGGCAGUGUGUUCUAGGGGCAUAGAGGUGACCCUCCCUGGAGCCAAGGGCAGAGGCCAGACCUCUCUGGACAGGGCUGAGCCUCACUGCACAGCAGCAGCGUCUCGUCCAGUCUCCACGCAGCCUGCAGGGUCCGUCCUGGGUACUUGUGUCAUCUCAGGGAAGGGAAGCAGCUUGCCCGAGGUGACACAGCUGGUUCAGGGACGGGGGGAUCUGUGGAAAAAACGUACUCAAAGUAUCUUUUUCUAUUCUCAGCAUCAGUGACCACAGAAGACAUCUGUGACCAAAUGUUGGAGGGGGUGUCCCCUCACAUACCGAACAAGCAAUCAGCUCUGCAGCAGACACAAGCUGGGCGUCCUCUAUUGCAUUUCCAACACGGUCUCCCUGGAGACAGUGCCAGAUCCCACAGGUUGAGGGCUCACAUCCCAAGACUGGCCCCCCAUUUCUGAUGCCAGUCACAAGCCCCAGGUUAUUUCAUCUGUGCUUCCAACUGACGGGCUGUACAUCGGGCUCCCACAGCCCCUCCUCUGGUUCCGUUAAUUUGCUAGUGUGCUCACAGAACCAGGGAAACAUGUUUACUGAUUUAUUGUAAAGGAGAUUUUAAAGGAUACCAGUGAACAGCCAGAUGGAGAGCCACGUAUGGUGAGGUCUGGAAGGGUUCCGAGCGCCGGGGCCUCUGUCCCUGUGGACUUGGGAUGCACCAUCCUCCUGGCAUGUGGGUGAGGUCUAGUUUACCUUGCUGUCCACCUCCACGAGUUCAGCUCUCUGGAAGCUCCCUGAACCCUGUCCUUUGGGCCUUUUAUGGAGACUUGGUUGAGAGGCAUAACUGAAGCAUGGACAGCCAUGUAGAAAUGCGAUUAGAUAAAACGGGUGUGAUCGAAUCCGAGUAGACCGAGCGGGGAAACCUCGCAAGGCCUGUGUGUUCAGACCCUUCUUGGCCUCCUUUGGCUUUCUUUCCUCAGGGUAGGGGCAGGACCCCUUCUGAAGGGGGGUGUUAUGGCCCACAAUCAGACAAAUUAGGUCAGAAAAAUUUUUUAUGGCCAGAGGUGGGGGAAGAUUUAAGGAUAUUUUUAGUUUUUAAGGCCUGCCUUGUGGAGAAAGAAGAGCAGGUGAAAGUAGGGCAGAAGGUCAGGGAGAGACUCUUUUUCUGAGGCCUAAAGCUUCCCAUCGUUAGAACAAGACUGUAACAAGGGCUGUGGGGGUCAUGAGCCAGGAGCCAUGGACAGAGCCCAAUGUAUACAUAUCAUAAAAUCACAGGGAGGGUUAGGACCCCGGGGCUGCUCCAUGCUCCCCACUUCUGUGUGCCUGGCCCCGCAAGGCGCACCUGUCCCCGCAUGGGUGUGCCCUGGAUGUCUCUUCCUGUGGACAAUGCCUGGCCAGCGUCCCCUGUCUCUGGGGCCUCAAACCAGGAAGUUCCCCGAGGAAUGGGUGGAUCUCAGGCUUUUCUGUGCCCAAGAUCUCUGGGAGAACCGUCUGCUGGCACGGCUUCCCAGGCUCCACUCUCAGGUGUGUCAACCCCGGUGCCCUUGAGCUGAGGCCAGGACAGCACCCCUGCCCAGCCUCUGCCUGUGGCUAACACCACACAAGGGUCAUGGGAGCCCCGCCAAGGGCCAAGGAGCUGGAGGGUGGUCCAGGGUGGUGCUCUGGGCCCGAGUGAGACUGUGCUCUUCUGACUCUCUCCGAUGGGCCCCAGAGCCCAUCACGGUCCCACAGCCAGGUUGCGAGGCACCUAGGAUCUAGUCAGCGUUGUGCCAAGCCCCCAUCCCCAUGCCUCAGCCGCCUGAGUCACUGGGAUUAUAGUCAUGAGCCACCAGGCCCACGCUCUUGUAUUUUGACCCCCUUAUUUAGGAAACGUUUUCUUGUCUGUCAGAGUGAGGGCAGGUGGUUUGCCCCUGCCACUUUGCUUUUUUUUUUUGGAGACAGAGUCUCACUCUGUUGCCCAGGCUGGAGUACAGUGGUGUGAUCUCGGCUCACUGCAACCUCCGCCUCCCGGGUUCAAGUGAUUCUCCUGCCUCAGCGUCCCGAGUAGCUUUGAUUACAGGUACGUGGCACCACGCCCAGCUAAUUUGUUGUAUCUUUAGUAGAGUUAGGAUUUCACCAUGUUGGCCAAGCUGGUCUCAAACUCCUCACCUUGUGAUCUGCCCGCCUCAGCCUCCCAAAGUGCUGGGAUUACAGGCGUGAGCCACCUCGCCUGGCCUAGGCAUUGCUAAUUUUCACACCAAUGAUUGCUUUAUGAUCCAGGUACUCCUCUGGCCGAAAAUAUUUGAAACGGGGAAAAGGCGUGGUACGUGACUUAGCUGUCAUAGGCACCAGAAGAAUUCUCAUCCCUUUCCCUUGGGGACGUGGUUUUGAGGAAUUAUGUAGUAGGGCGAAGAAACCACAACCAGAGUUGGACUGAAACUUUUUAAAUUUUUGGUCUUCCUGGUUGGUGCCAUCCUGCUUGGCAGCUGUUCUGCCGUUUCACACCAAGAAAAGUUGUUUCUGAACUUAGUUUACUUUUUUCCCAAGUUAAAAGUAGCUUAUAUAUUCUGCAUUUUGUUAAGGAGCUUGCACUUUAUCCAAAUGGCAGGACGAAGCUGAUCUGAGACAGGUGUAUUAGUUAGUUCUUGCUUCCUGACAAGUCACCCCAAACUCAGGGGUGUAAACAGUAACAUCUGUCAGCUCAGAAAGCCUCUGUGGGUCUGGAGUCUGCGAGUGGCUUGGGCACGCGGACCUGGCCCAGGGUCUCCUGUGAGGUCACAGUGCAGUGUUGGCCGGGCUGUCAUCUGAAGGUUGGUGGCUUCAAGAUGGCUCCCUGGCAGGGGGUUGGCAGGAGGCCUUGGUUCCUCACCUGGGGGCCUCUCUGUGGGGCGGCUUCAGUGUCUGCCAGCAUGACUGUGGCUUCCCCCCAGCAGGGAUGGGAUUGCACAGCUGGUCGACGGUGGUGGGGAGAGGGAGAAAUAGAGGCCCUCGCUCAGGUUUCUGAGUUCAAAACUGCGCUCUCAUUUCAGGGGCCAGCAGCCUCCCCCGAUGGGUCAUCAGCAACGAGGGUGCCUCAGGAUGUGACGCAGGGCCCUGGGGCCACAGGUGGAAAGGAGGACAGCGGGAUGAUUCCCUUAGCAGGCACCGCCCCUGGGGCUGAGGGGCCGGCGCCUGGGGACUCCCAGGCUGUGCGCCCCUACAAGCAGGAGCCCAGCAGCCCCCCGCUGGCGCCUGGCCUGCCCGCCUUCCUAGCGGCCCCGGGCACCACGUCCUGCCCCGAGUGCGGCAAAACGUCCCUGAAACCAGCUCACCUGCUGCGCCACCGGCAGAGCCACUCGGGCGAGAAGCCGCACGCCUGCCCUGAGUGCGGGAAGGCCUUUCGGCGCAAGGAGCACCUGCGGCGCCACCGCGACACGCACCCCGGCAGCCCCGGCAGCCCCGGGCCCGCGCUGCGCCCUCUGCCCACCCGUGAGAAGCCCCACGCGUGCUGCGAGUGUGGCAAGACCUUCUACUGGCGCGAGCACCUGGUGCGCCACCGCAAGACGCACUCGGGAGCGCGGCCCUUUGCCUGCUGGGAGUGUGGCAAGGGCUUCGGGCGCCGCGAGCACGUGCUGCGCCACCAGCGCAUCCACGGCCGGGCAGCGGCCAGCGCGCAGGGGGCGGUAGCUCCGGGCCCCGAUGGUGGAGGCCCCUUCCCGCCCUGGCCCUUGGGUUAGCCGCCUCCCGGCCCGCGCCACCUCUCGCCCUCGGUGCUGCCCCCGGGCGGUCCCUCCUCUCUCCCAGCGCCACUUGGCCUCUUCGCCUCCUCCUUCCCUCCCAUCGUCCUCCUGCACCUGCGCCUCCCUUGUCUGAACUUCCCAACGCCUUCCUCUCUAUUCCUUUCCAACUCCUUCUCCCCCAAAUUUCACUUUCCUUCUCAGGUCUCACCUCAGCCCCCCCUUCUCCCUGAUUUCUCGGCCUCUCUCUCUGUGUGAAGGGGCCUCUCCCUAAUGUCUCCUCCUUUCCCCCUCUUCUCUCUCCUGCGGCCCAGCCUCCCUCUCCCUCCUCCAUUCCUCUCUCCCUGCCCUUUUCCUGCCUGAAGAGCAGAGGUGAGGACCUGGGACCUCUGAGGGGCAGGCCAGGAGGAGCUCGGGCGCAGGCCAGGCCCCCUUGGUGAAGCGGAGGCUGAAGGAAAGGGGUCUGGGUCUUGUCCCUAGGAAUUCUCCUCCCGCAGGACAGAUUGGGGGUCGGGGGAGGCAGCGGGUGAUGGCUCUGAAGCUGAACCCAGGGCCUGGCUGUGGUCUCCUUGGUCUCGCUGCCCCCUGUGACCCAAAGGCAUGGGAUGGACAGAGAUGCCUGCCCCCGUGAAGCUGGUUGGGGAGGGCAGUUCACCAGCAUCCAUAGAGUAAUAAAGUCACUGUGUGUAG